Molecule: non-coding RNA, 46 nt
Organism: Anolis carolinensis (green anole)
Lineage: Eukaryota; Metazoa; Chordata; Lepidosauria; Squamata; Anolidae
Source: Rfam
CCAAAGGUCUUUAUCAAGACCAUUGCUAACGAUUAUUAGAAAGUUG